RNAcentral lists this long non-coding RNA (7482 nucleotides) under Solanum tuberosum (potato). RNAcentral's name for it is "long non-coding RNA (STUB_LNC007362)". Lineage: Eukaryota; Viridiplantae; Streptophyta; Magnoliopsida; Solanales; Solanaceae. The record is from RNAcentral.
AAUGUAUAAUCUUUAUCCUGUUCUUUACCAUUGGCUAAAACUUUGCAGAACAAGUUCUUUUAUGAUCUGCAUAUUGGUAUAAGUUGUCGAUUUCCGUAUUUGCAGCGUAGAAGGUGUUCCCAGUUUGUGGGUAUCAAUUGAUUUACGUGGAAAAUGUUUAUGCAGCAUAUUCAUGCAUUUUUAAUAGUUGUAUCAUCUUUUUUCCAGAACAGUCUUGAACUGGUAGCCAAAUCAUCCAAAAACACAUCUGCUAAUGUUUUUCCCUUGUUUAAACUUACAAUGGUGGAGUCUUUGUCUGCAAUUUGGUGGAAGCCUAUUGUCGUGGAUACCACUUUUUUAUAAAUCCUUUUAUGUUGAUGCAUAUUGUUAUCAAGUAUCAUUGCUCAGUGAUGUAUCAAUGCUGAAUCUGAGUAAGAUGAGAUCUUUAUGCAUUUCUUCACUUGUUACUUGAUAGGAGAUCUUCAAAGUAUUUCCUAUUCAAAGCCAAGACUUAAUACUUUAGAGGAAGGGCAUCUAAACAACUAUGCUAUUAUUGGCAUCCAAAAUUAAAACCACAGCUGGAUAAUUGAGGUUCCACUAUGACUGGAAAUCACUCUUUGGAAAUUUUUUGACCUAGCGUAUAACUCGAGGAAUCUUGUUAAAACCCUAUUUAAGAAAAUAAAUGAGCAAAUAAGGGUCUUAUGUUACAUUUUUAGUGGUAAAGAAGAUGUUCCUUUCUUCCAUUUCCCACACUUACUAGCUUUGAAGAGUAAAUUGUUAUUCAGAUAGGUGAGACCUGUAAGUAUGCGAGGUGUGAAGUAUCGUACUAAAUACAAUUAAAAUAUUAAGAUAAUAUGAGAUUUUUGAUAGAUAAGCACAAUGUUGAAAGACAAAUCUGUACGAAAUUAAGAGCAACAGGGGUGAAGGCUCUGUAGCGUCUGAGUUGCUCAUUCCCCCUUCCCCCUUUUCAUCCUAACCUUACGUCAUCCAUUCGUGCUGGCCACAACCAUUUACAGUGUUUAUAAUCUUUUUUAUAAGAUAAUGAUAUUUUAUUAAGCUAGUACCAAGGAGGCAGCACAAAAGUACUAAAGGAUUAUUAUUUCUUUGACAAGGUAGCAUUCAGCUAAAAGUUUCUAUGAAUCAUCAAGCUGUGAGACCUCCCUAACAAUAUGUUCCUUGCACCAAAAAUAUGAACUUAGUAAGCACCUAUUUUUUUUUUUUUUGAUUACAAGGGAAACCCGCAGCCGCUACCCUUUGGGUGCGCACAAGGUAAAACCCCCGCUCCUAUGCAAUAACUCGCAAACCACAUAGGAGAGGUAACCCGCACUAGGCAAGCUUGGUGCGACGAGCUCGACCCAGAAGGCAAACCCCUUGCUUUCGCUGGCAAGGGGUUUCAAACUUGAGACCUCCAACAUGGAAGUCCCAAGCUCAAACCACUUGGCCACCCCGAAGGGUAGUAAGCACCUAUAUUUUGCAAAAGAAAUGUGAUGCUUCUGUCCAGUGAAGCUUUUUUUGUUCCUUUCAAGCCAAGUACUCCACAUGAUGUAUUAUUGAUGCAGCUCUCUAGGUCUUUUAAAAUCUGAUAUCAUAUUCUUGUCCUUUCCAGCUGACAAGAAGAUUCUUCACCUCAUAUGGCCUAAUCCAUUUUACUCCAAAGAUAUUAAAAAACAUAGCCAGAUUGCCAGUAUGUAAAUUCACUGUGAAGAAGUAGAUGAUUAAGAGUCUCUCCUGCUCUUUCACACAGAAAACACCUGCUGCAUAGUCAAAAUCCCCUUUCUGAAGUAAUUCUUCGUCAUACAGGGAUUUUUCUAACUUUUAUCCUGACUAAGUGUACAAUUAAUUUGUGUUGAGUUGUGUACUUAGUUUAGUCUGACAGUAACCUUUUUGAUAAGCAGUGUGAUGAGUAGCUUUAGAUUGUCUGUAUAAGACAUUUUAAGGAUUAAGAAUGUAUAUUUUUCCUCUUAAUACCCCUAGAGGGGGGAUAAGGCUAAGCGGAGCAAAAAGGGUUUUCCAUGAGAUGGGAAAACUAUUUUCCCCACACGAAGUUUGUGAAUAAUUAUUUAUGUAAUAAAAACAAAGAUACAAUGAAAAGGAGGCGCCACAUUAAAGGUCAAGCUCUCUUGCAUAUUCUCAUACAAAGAAUUUAAUCUCAACCCUAGUUUGAUCCACCAUGAAACAAAGUUUGGAUUGAGAAACUAAUGUUACAAAAUCUCCUUAGUGCCUCACUUUCUAUGGUGGGCCAAUGGCUAAGGAAGAAAAUGAUGAGCAGUUUGUGUAUUAUCGGGAGUAGAUAAAGAGUAACCCUUUGUUGUAAAUUCCACAUGGUCAAGGGAGGAUUUUGUAUUGUGCUCUUUCUUGUACUCCCUAGGAUGAUAAUAUGGUGGAAAGGAUGAGGGGAUGAAAGAUAAAUGGGUUGUCUAGGAAUUUGUGCUUUCAAAUUAUGUUAUCCCCAAGUAAUUCAUACAAGUACAAAUAGAUGAGAGCUGAUUGAUGAAUGUUUAUAUUGUCCCUAAAAGAAUGAUACCUUUUUAUAUAUAGAAAUAAAUUCAAUUUUAAACUUUCCAAUUUUUACCCAUAAUACAAUAAUUUAUAGCCAUACAAAUAUCUGUGGUUUUUUUAGACUACAAGUUUCAAAAGUCUUUCGUUCUUUCUUAAACACUAGUUCCAAUCGAUGUGUAUCACAUAUUGAGACAUAGGGAGUACUAAGGAUGUGAAAAGAUUAUUUUGGAAGCUGAAUGACAAUCUGCUAAUAACUUUCUAUUGGUGCCAAUGAAAUUUUUGUGGUCUUUAGGAGAUCUAUGGAAGCUGAAUGACAAUCUGCUAAUAACUUUUGGUAUUGUUAAUAACGGCCUCCCUGACUUAUCAUUUUGAUGACAGUGGUGGCUGGACCAAUUAGCAUGCACAUUGGUCUUUCCAUUGGGUACUUGCUAUCUCUCAUCAAUAAAAUUUCCAACCAAGACUUAGGCAGAUGGAAAGAAACCUAGUGUUUUUGUUUUGGCUGGGAUUUGAACAGGUGAUCUCAUGGUUCUCCACCCACUUCAUUGACCACUAAGCCACACUCUUGAGUGCAAAGGCUUUUAGAAUUCUCGUUUAUUACUUUCUCUGGAUGUAGGAAAGGUUUUAUCAUUUUGGUAUGCUCAUUUUUCUUAAGGUUCACAUAAUGUUUUCAUCAAUUUAGUGAUUCAUAUUUCUAGAGCCUCAUAACCUCAAAACAGUAUCCUCUUUCUGGAUCAUAACUUACCAAACAUGUAGAGCAUUUCUGUUAUUUGGAUAUUAGCAAUUUGGAGGUUAUUGGGUGUAGCCUCAUAACCUCAAAGCAGUAUUUCUCUUUCUGGAUUAUAACUUACUAAACAUGUAGAGCAUUUCUAUUCUUUGGAUAUUAGCAAUUUGGAGAUUGUGGAUGUCUCAUUUCAACUAAUUGUCUCAAACUUCAAAUGUAGUUGCCAUGGAAAAAGACUGCAAGAUUUUCUAAUGCAUAGUGAAUUUAGUAUUCCGGAUGUUCAUUAUAAUUGCAAAUGGAGGCCGGAGCUUCAAUACCAUAACUAGAAAUUGAACUUUUCUCUCUCUAAGUACUUGACUUUGAUUCUGUCAUCUGUAAACCUUACUGAUUUGCACUGUAAUUAGGCGAGCACAGCUUCACAGCAGACUGCAUCUGACUGGCAAGAGUAUGAAGCUGCUGAUGGGAGACGGUGAGUUGGUUUUUUGGUAAUUCUUUUUUAAACUUUGCCCUUUAUCAAGUAAAUCAUGUUACUUGACAAUCUCUCAGAGUUUGUAUUAUGCUGCUUGCAGUGCUAAGAUAUAACUCUGCAAUGUUUCCCUUCUUUCCUGUUCAUUUAGUUUGGGAUUGAAGUGUAGUUCAGUGAUUAAUUAAUUAAUUUGCUUAUUUAGAUAUUAUUACAAUAAGAAUACAAAGCAAUCUAGCUGGGAGAAGCCUUUGGAGCUGAUGACACCUUUAGAGGUUAGUUAUAUUCUUAAUUGCUGCUGUUUUGAUAAUUGAAGUCUUUACUUGCUGUUUGGUGGAGUGCACAUAUUCUCUUUUGCCUCAAAAUAUGCAAAUAUCGUUUCCUUUUUGUGGAUGUUAACAACUGCACUAGAUAUUAAAUAGUUCAAACCGUUUUAUGUGUAUUCUACUUUUCUUUGCAUGUUCUUCCACUGGUUUGUAGAUGUCAUUGCAAGUCAUGGACAUAUAAACAACUGCGAUUAGUGCUCAAAUUGAAGGCGCUUUCACUUUCUCAAGGCAGGCAACAAUUUGUUAUUCCAUCUUAUGUUGCAAUUUAGUGACUUGAUAUUAUGUGGAAUUGGUCAUACAUGUUGGUAGUUACAAAUUUCCUGUUGAAACUGGAAGUUGACCUAUUUCAAUUUAAACCAUGAUCCUAAGCAAGUGCAUACAUAUACUCCUAAAAGAUUAGUAGAUAUAGGAAGUGUUGUUGUGAACUACCUGCACCAUCCUCCAUGUAUUUACUGUGGAGGAAAUUCACAACAUCCUAUUUUUUGUUGUUGAUGAGGUAGCAUUCUACUUUUAUCUUAUCUUGUUGACAUUCAUUGAUUUAUGAGGAACUUCCCAGCAUUGUUCUUUAUUUUAUUGCAUAAGCUUUGUUAGAAUAAGAAUAUGAACAAGAAUAAUAUAUAUAAAUCUACUUGGAAGAGGAAUAGUAUAUAGAAACCCACUUGGAAUAGGAAUAGUACAUACAAUCUUACUUGGAAAAGGAUUGUAAUAUAGUGUCUAUACAUAGGAUCUCAGUGUAAUAAUGGAGGUACACAAUUUAAUAACAUUCUUCUCCAAUAUUCUCACAUGGUAUCAAAGCUUCUAUGAAUCCGGUAGAGAAUCAAAGAGCUUUCGUUGUCGGCGGGCGGCUAUGACCAUAUAUGCCACUCGUCUGGCCAAUGGUUAUGUUAACAAAAGUAGGGCCACAUUUUAGGAAUUUUAGGUAUCGCUUGUAAUGUAAUAAGGAUGAAGUCUCAUUGAUAUAUGCAUGAACCCCAUAUUCAGUGGAAGAAAACUCAGUCCGAUAGACUACCCUGUGUCAAUUUUUGGCGACUUUCUAAGGGUCUGUUUGGAAAGCCACCAUGUAAUUGGAAUUGGUGUAAUUACUACGGUAGUAAUUACCAGCCUAGUAAUUACACAACCUAGUAAUUACGUUGACUUGUUUGUUUGCCACUUGUAAUUACAAGUGUACUGUUUGGUUGCACCAGUAGUAUUGAAUAUUAAAAAUAAAAAUUAAUUAUUAAAAAUUAAAAAUUAUAUUAGACAAAUAAGGGGCUUUAUAAAUGAUAUUAAAUUGUCAUAAAAAAUAAAUGAUAUUAAAUUAAACAUUUAAGAUAUAUAUUGUCUCUUGAAAAUAUAUUAAUUAAUGAACAUAUGUUCUUCACUAAAAUUAUAAAAUUAAUUGAUUUAUAUUUUUCAAUUUAGUAUAUUUUAAUUAAGUAACUCAUAAAAACUAAAAGUACAUAAUUUCUAUGAACAUCAUGAAAUACAUGUUUGACUAAAAGAUUAAUAUUAUAAAUCAAUACUCCUAAAACAAAUGAAAUUGAAAAUAUAACAUACAUUCUAAAUUCAAAACAAAAAAUUUAACAUAAUACUCUUAUGUCAAAUUUCAACAUAAAAUACAUAAAUAUGAUUUAAAAGAAAAGGAAAACGUAAGUCCAUAACUUUAUUCAACAAUAAAUUCUACUUUAGUUUAAAAAUUAGAAUAGUAACAAAAUUAUACUAAUGAUAUUUUUUGGAAGAUACGAAAAAUUGCAUGGAAUCACAUGAAGUAAAGGUUGAGAGUAAGAAGGAAAUGAAAUAUAAAUGAUAUAAAAAAUAUUUGAAAAUAAUAUUAGAAUAAUAAAAUCAGAACAAUUUAAAAUAAUAAUAAUAAAAAAUUAAAACAAAAAUAAAAGAAAGAAAUUUAAAAGUAAUUAGCUUGUAAUUACACCAUGUAAUUACCAGCAAUUCAUAUGCCCCCCCCCCAAACCCAAUGAAUUGGAGAGUGUAAUUACAACCUGCCAAUUCCACCCAAUUACCUGCUGACCAUGUAAUUACAUGCCCAACCAAACAGGACAGACAAUGUAAAUACACCGAAUUCAAUUACCAGGAUGGGCUUUCCAAACAGGCCCUAAGGAUAUUUUGUGUCAACCCGUAUCUGUCAGUAUUUGUGUAGCACCGUGCCAUCUUUCCAGUGACUAUUUUCUCAUAUCUAAUUUGUAUAACACCGUGCCAUCUUUCCACUGACUACUUUCUCAUAUUUGAUUUGCGUAGCAUCGUGCCAUCUUUCCAGUGACUGCUUUCUCAUAAUCGAUUUGCGUAGCACCGUGCAUCUUUUUGUUGACUACUUUCUCAUAUCAGAUUUGUGUAGUUUUGAGCAUUUCUUGGCGACCGCUACACCGUUUUCGGUAGAUCAGAGUUUUCCAGUUGUGUUCUCUUUGUUUCACAUUCACUUUUGUCAAAGGGUAUACACUGAUAUUUGGAUUGGAUUACGACGAUACUUUCUCUCCCAUGGCUAAUAUAGCAUAUGCCCUCCUUUAUUUUUUUAUCUAUGGUUACCAUUAGCCAUUGACCUCUUAAUGCAUAUGCCCGCCUUUAUUUUUUUUAUCUAUGGUUACCAUUUUCCAUUGACCUCUUAAUCAGUUGGACAUUAAAAAUGUUUUUCUCCACGUUGAUCUUGAGGAAGAAGUCUAUACAGAGCAACCACCUGGUUUGUUGUUAGGGGGAGUCUAGUAGCUUGUAUAUCGAUUGUGCAGAAUGUUUUGUCGACAUUCUGCAUCAAAUUCAGUAUUUUAUGAGAGGACUUAACACAUUGAGAUUCACUUUCUCUUUGUCAGAAAAAACAGAGAUGAUACUCUCCGGAGAAGUUGGUCUGUUUCAAAGUUAAUAUUGCCUCCUUUUUCUGAAUUUGGUUGUUGUUUGCCCUUUUAGUUUUCCUGGCUCCCGAAUAUUUUGACGAUUGCCAUGAACUUCCUUCAGUUAUCCUGAUCAGAUCUAGAAAUACAUAUUGGACAUCCCUAAUUUUCCCGAUCUCUUUGGAGAUUUUAUGUUGUCUCUAUUCAUGUUAAUAUACUUAAUUAGGUAAUUAGCUCCUCUUUCAAGUACUCCUUUACUUCAAGUUAGCCUUGCUUGUUGAUUCUCCUCAUCCAGCCAUUUUCUUCAUGAGUGGAAUUACCCCUUUUGUCAACACCCUUGCUCGCUUGCUUGAUGUCAAAACUCAAGCUAAAUAGAUGUUGCUGCUAUGUGAGCCUCAUUUCCUAUGCCUUCGCUGUCUCUCCAUGUGUCACCUUUCCUCAACUUCUCUUGGUAUCUGACGCUCUAAAUUCUCUCUUAUACUGUCUCUUCCAAUAUGGAGGAGAUUUUGAUUCACAUCCUUACCUCUCUAAAAGUGUGUUAAUGGGGAGGAAGGAGACAUUGAGAUGCUGACAGAUAUUUAGUUAGAUUUUUCCACGUGCUUUCCUCUCUUUAUUUGUGGAAACUUUCCCUGACCUAACAAAUUGGAAUCUGAGGUAGAGUCUGUCAAAUCUAUAAGCUGG